This 2679-nucleotide long non-coding RNA is filed under the name Heterocephalus glaber (naked mole-rat). Its description in RNAcentral is "lncRNA (ENSHGLG00100049274.1)". The record is from RNAcentral. Lineage: Eukaryota; Metazoa; Chordata; Mammalia; Rodentia; Bathyergidae.
CGCGCGCCGGCGGCCCCAGCUCAGUGCGCGGCGGCGGCGGGGCAGCUGGCGCCGCGCGGUCCGGCUCGGGCAGAGCGCACGGGGCUCUGCGGCGGAGGGACCGGCAGCGCGGGGCAGGCGGGCUGCGGGCCGACGCGGGAGCCACGGCUAGCGAGCCGGGGCCGGCGGCUGCCAGACCCGGAGCGGCGCCGUCCUCGUGCCGGCGGCGAGGGCGCGAUGCCCGCCUGAGCGCCUCCCCCGCCAUGGGCGCCCCGGCCCGCGUCCCUCGCGCUGUGCGUGGCGGUGGCCGUCGUGGCCGCGAGCGUCGGCGGCGCGGAGCCUGGUGCCGGGCGCGGAGCCGCAGCUGCCUGGACUUCCAGUGCUCUGGACUGCCAGCCGUUCGCCCCGGGGCUUGGGGUGCCCUCCUGGAACCUCAGUUUCCUCACCUGUCCAGGAGGACUGAUAAUGGCAGGGUUCUUUGGAGGAUUAGGCAGAUAAUCCCGGUAAGCCCUCAUUAGCCCUCCCGGUCUCCGGAUCCCUUUUUUCUUUUUUCUGACUUUGUUACAAAACUCUCCGGAAUGUCUCUGAGUGGGAUGGGAGGGGUGCACAGGAGGCCAGGCCCUGGCCCUCAGUUGCAGGCUCCCUUGGGGGCAUUGACGUCUCAUGGGCUCUUUUCUUUCCCUCAGGUACCUGACAAAGCCACCCACACCCGGGGCACAGAGAGCUCCACACUUGGAGCCAGAACGUUUUGUUCCCUGACCCCAGCCCUUGUCUGGCUCCAAACCCUAAGUCCCUUGGGAGAGUUGGCUGCAGAAACCAGUCUGAAAUUGAUGCUUGUUCUUAGGUGCCCUGAGCGCCUGAGCAGUACUGACCCAGGACUGCCAGCAAGGUCUCCCAGGCAGGGAUUCGGCCCUCCCAGCAGGCCGUCCUUCUGGGCCACAUUGGUCCCAGACGAGAGACCAGGGCAGAGUGCCCCUCACUCUCCUCCCCUCAUCUGUCAUGCGCCAACCACCUGACAGGUCCUGCAGGCCUGCAGGGGGAUUUCUACCUUGGGCCACAGUGCAGGAAACUGAGGCACAAAGUCAGGAAGAGCUGGGCCCAGCACGGCUCCUCCGGGACACAGCGCUCCAUGGCCCACAGCAGUGGACUCUCCUUGGUGUGUGCCCCUGGCUGGACUCGGCAGCCUGUGGGGCUUGUGGGACAGCAGGAGCACGAGUGCCGCGUGGGUGCAUAGAGUCCCCUCUGUGGGUAAAGAGCCCCCCCACCCCGUGUGCUUGCAGCUGGCUGAGAUGUGGGGGCUCCCCAGGCCCUCUCCGUGCCCACCAAGCCCAUCCCACGCUGUCAUCUUGGUGUCCAGGUGCCUGACUCCCUGCAAGGUUUUCCCCAGGGCCUCAGUCGCAGCAGUGGACACUGCCGCCCAAGGCUGCCUGUGGUCCAGGUCACCCUCCUGACACCUGUCAGGCAGGGCGGGUGGCCGGGUCAAAGGUUGGCCCUUUGCCCUCCCUGUCCCACACUAGCAGCCAUCUGCUGGGCGUAGCUGGCCUGGGGGCUGCCCUCAGUCCCUCAGCGGUCCCUUGCUGGACUGGGUUGAAGCAAAUACUUGUGUGGAUGGCUUGACCUGUUGUCCUUGUCCAGACCAAACCGGAACCAACCGGCUGUUGCCUUUGGGCCAGGGCCUGGGGUUGCAGCUACGACGGCCAGCUUGUUCCUGCCUUCUGGGGGGCCUCAGGCAGCUCCCAGCACUGGGUGGUCCCCACAGGACAUGGCGGCCAGGUCUGGAGAGCUGGAGGUCGGCCCAGGAGCCCCUACUGUGGGGCCCACCCAAGGGUUGGCCCUGACUAGGAGUCCCUGUGGGACACAGGCUCCCGUGGGUCCUUUUGGGGGAUGAGUGGGUCCCUGUGGCUGGCAGGCUUCUGGUGUGCGCUGGGCUUGUGGGGCUGGCUCGUGUGGGCCGGGCAGAGCUGGGCUUGGCCUGAAAGCCAGGGACUGGUGUGGACAGAGUGGGCAGCUGGGGCCCGAAUCUAGGCCACGCGUCGGUAGAAUGACAAGUAACAGUGCGGCUAGCCUAGCUGGGUCUGGGGAAGGUCUGCCCAGGGGGACCACCCAUUCCUGUCCUGGGCCCCGAGCCCGGCCACCCCUGUGCCCAGCAUUGUCUGGCCCUGGCAGGGAGGCUCGGUGAUGGUUACCCUUGCAGGUGGUGUCCCUGGGUCCCAGACCUCGGGGCCUCUCAGGUUCCAGGUGGCCCGGGGCAGGGGAGAGGCCCAGGCCCAGGCCCAGGCCCAGCUGUGGGAAAGGCUUGUACCCCAGCCCCUCACCACCUCUUGGCUCAGCUCUGCGCCGCUUGCCUGUUGCCCGCAGCGUCCUCAGCCUGGGGCAUCAUCAAAGAUCAGUGGGCAAGAGCCCACCGCCAACCGCCUGAGACCCAGUGGUCCGGUGGGUCCUGUCCUCUGACAGGGCUGUGUGGAGGGUGCUGUGAGCUGUGGGUUCACAUGUGCCCUAAAGCCCCUGGCUCCUCUAGCUGCCUCUGCCUGCCUGCGGCCAGCUGUGCACAGCUCUGCUGUGUGUGCGUGUGUGCACGCAGCCCGAGCCCAGCCUCCUCAGCCCUGUUGCGGGCGUGCCCUGUUCCCCACUUCCCCCUGAGCUGCUCUUGCUGGUGAGAUGAGAGUUGGGGUGCUGGAGGGACUCCCUCUGGACCGCCCG